GCACUGGUGGUUCAGUGGUAGAAUUUUUGCCUCUCAUUUAGGAGACCCAGGUUUGAUUCUUUGCCAAUGCA
RNAcentral lists this transfer RNA (71 nucleotides) under Loxodonta africana (African savanna elephant). It matches the Rfam family "tRNA". From Rfam's summary of the family: Transfer RNA (tRNA) molecules are approximately 80 nucleotides in length. Their secondary structure includes four short double-helical elements and three loops (D, anti-codon, and T loops). Lineage: Eukaryota; Metazoa; Chordata; Mammalia; Proboscidea; Elephantidae. The record is from Rfam by way of RNAcentral.